AUGCACAACAUCGUUGAGUCCUCACAUCAACGUGCUUCCAUCUUCAACCUUCAUCACUUUCACACCUUCGUAUCUUUCUCGGCAACAUAUCGCUACAUCUCUGUUUCAGUCAUCACCAUCAUUUGCAUUCAAGAAUUUCAGGCAACAAUAGUUCGUAAUGCUGACACGCGUGAAAGCGCAGAAGAAGAAGUUAUCGGAAUCAUGAACUGA
Molecule: non-coding RNA, 210 nt
Organism: Vicia faba (fava bean)
Lineage: Eukaryota; Viridiplantae; Streptophyta; Magnoliopsida; Fabales; Fabaceae
Source: the annotation of a GenBank genome assembly